UACGGAGGGGGCUAGCGUUGUUCGGAAUUACUGGGCGUAAAGCGCACGUAGGCGGAUCAGCCAGUCAGGGGUGAAAUCCCGGGGCUCAACCCCGGAACUGCCCUUGAUACUGCUGGUCUGGAGUUCGAGAGAGGCGAGUGGAAUUCCGAGUGUAGAGGUGAAAUUCGCAGAUAUUCGGAGGAACACCAGUGGCGAAGGCGGCUCGCUGGCUCGACACUGACGCUGAGGUGCGAAAGCGUGGGGAGCAAACAGGAUUAGAUACCCGGGUA
Molecule: ribosomal RNA, 269 nt
Filed under: uncultured prokaryote
Description: partial 16S ribosomal RNA
Rfam family: Bacterial small subunit ribosomal RNA
Source: RNAcentral